Molecule: long non-coding RNA, 687 nt
Organism: Alnus glutinosa
Lineage: Eukaryota; Viridiplantae; Streptophyta; Magnoliopsida; Fagales; Betulaceae
Exons: 2
Source: RefSeq, a predicted model, not a curated record
UAAAGUUAAGAGGACAUUGUAGUUUGAAGGUAAGUUUGAGGGACAUAGAGGUGUAGUUUAUUAAAAAAAAAGAAAAAAGAAAAAGGGAUAUGGGACAAGGACAAUUAAGGAAUACAAUAUUGAUAAUGGAGGUAAGUUGUGGUAAGGAGUAGUAGUGUGAAGGGCUGAGCUCUUAAGUAUUGCGUGGUCUGCCUGUUCAACAUUCAUACAUAUUAUCUCUCUCACUUUCCCGGCCCCCCUCCUUCCCUCUCCUACUCUAAACACUUGUGCCUAUUGGCUUUCUUAGCCACUCAACCCAAGGAAGUUGCUCUUUUUCUUUCAGAGUAUAUAUAUAUAAUUGCAGGGUUUAGCGAUGGUGAUGAUGGGGUUGGAAAGGUUGAUGGUGAGUUUGAAGUCAAAAAUAAAGUCGUUGAAGAUGAAGAAGCCUUACGAUAAGAUCGAAAAGAGUGACAGCAUGAGAGUUGAGAUCAGAAGCAGGAAGGCUCAGAAGCUUAUUAAUGAGACCCUCAAAAUUGCUGAUUCCCCCAACACCAGGACUCUACCUGCUUUCUGAUCACUCUUUCUCAGUUUCUCUCAUCCAUCAAUAACAACAAACCUCCUCAUAUUAUUCUCUUCUUUUCUUUUUUUUCUUUUUUAUAUGUUAACCAUACGAGAUGGUAUACGUACGGAUUUUCCUUUUUCUUUUUU